Molecule: small RNA, 68 nt
Filed under: Arabidopsis thaliana (thale cress)
Lineage: Eukaryota; Viridiplantae; Streptophyta; Magnoliopsida; Brassicales; Brassicaceae
Description: ATSL017890
Source: RNAcentral
AAUUAAAUACGUAUUACUUCUAUGGCGUGUAGUAGAAAGACUAGCUGCAUAUGGCACCUAAUUAAUAC